Non-coding RNA from Peromyscus maniculatus bairdii (prairie deer mouse), 435 nucleotides. The record is from RefSeq and is a predicted model, not a curated record. NCBI's taxonomy places the organism in Eukaryota, Metazoa, Chordata, Mammalia, Rodentia, Cricetidae.
GGUUGGGCCGGGGCCUGCUGCAAGGGCCAGCAAAAACCAUCCCCAACGUUCUUUUGAGGCCCCGGGGGCCCCGCCCUGGUACUGGCUGAUUUCGAAAUGGGCUCUUUGGCAGUGGGCUUAUCUGUUCAUCACUACAAAAGGUCAUGAGGCCAUCAGGAGCAAAGACUCAAGGGAACCAGCUGUGCAGAGGCAGAGGUACAGGCCAAUGCUCCAGCCACCCUGAGCAAUGGCUUUCUGCGGCAGCCGGAAGGAGUCCCGUGUGACAUGCUAAGGAAGCCCUGGCUGCACCAUUUCUGUUUUAAGCAAUAUGACAAGAUCUUCUGGGAUGAUUCCCACCUGGACCACAUCAUCACACACUUCCAUGAGGUCCUAGAGAAUUGUCGCCCCCCCUCCCCCCAGCCCCUGUGGGCCAAGCCAAGCCCUCGGCCCAACCAG